Molecule: ribosomal RNA, 254 nt
Filed under: uncultured bacterium
Lineage: Bacteria
Description: partial 16S ribosomal RNA
Rfam family: Bacterial small subunit ribosomal RNA
Source: RNAcentral
UACGUAGGGAGCGAGCGUUGUCCGGAUUUAUUGGGCGUAAAGAGCUCGUAGGCGGUUUGGUAAGUCGGGUGUGAAAGCUCCGGGCUCAACUCGGAGAGGUCACUCGAUACUGCCAUGACUGGAGUCCGGUAGGGGGGUGUGGAAUUCCCAGUGUAGCGGUGAAAUGCGCAGAUAUUGGGAGGAACACCAAUGGCGAAGGCAGCACCCUGGGCCGGCAUUGACGCUGAGGCGCGAAAGCUAGGGGAGCAAACGGG